This 544-nucleotide ribosomal RNA is filed under the name uncultured bacterium. RNAcentral's name for it is "bacterial SSU rRNA". It matches the Rfam family "Bacterial small subunit ribosomal RNA", at positions 777 to 1325 of the family's 1533-position model. The record is from RNAcentral.
AAUAGAUACCCGGGUAGUCCACGCCGUAAACGAUGAAUACUAGGUGUGGGGGUUUCAACACCUCCGUGCCGCCGCUAACGCAUUAAGUAUUCCGCCUGGGGAGUACGGUCGCAAGAUUAAAACUCAAAGGAAUUGACGGGGACCCGCACAAGUAGCGGAGCAUGUGGUUUAAUUCGAAGCAACGCGAAGAACCUUACCUACACUUGACAUCCCUUGCAUUACUCUUAAUCGAGGAAAUCCCUUCGGGGACAAGGUGACAGGUGGUGCAUGGUUGUCGUCAGCUCGUGUCGUGAGAUGUUGGGUUAAGUCCCGCAACGAGCGCAACCCUUAUCGUUAGUUACUACCAUUAAGUUGAGGACUCUAGCGAGACUGCCUGGGUUAACCAGGAGGAAGGUGGGGAUGACGUCAAAUCAUCAUGCCCCUUAUGUGUAGGGCUACACACGUGCUACAAUGGCUGGUACAGAGAGAUGCAAUACCGCGAGGUGGAGCCAAACUUAAAACCAGUCUCAGUUCGGAUUGUAGGCUGAAACUCGCCUACAUGAAG